AGCUCAUGAACAGACUGGGCAAAGCCGGAGCCCUCUCUUCACAUGCCUUAGGGCAGUGAUGGGGCAGCCAAAGCUGAGCACUCUAACUGAGGGAUGUAGAUUAGAGGUGAGGACAUAACUCCAAAGAGUAACUCUUUGCUGAAGUGACUUCACAGGGGCUGUGGAUUGGGGAUCAAACCCUGGGCCUUGCAACUACUAGGGAAGUGCUCUAUCUUUCCUGGCAAGCAUCAUUCUACUUUUUGCACUGGAAACAAUUCAAAUGGGAAACCCAGUUUACCUUCCUAAAAUUCAUGGUAUGAUUUAUCAUGAGAUGAGCCUCCUUAAUUGGAAAAAUAUACUGUAGAUGUUUGAAAAAAAUGUUGUUUACCACCUCACCCAACAAAUCUUCUAUUCAACGGAUGUGUACUUGGAAUUCCUAUUCUAAGUGCUAGUGCUACACAGUAUUUGUGCUAUAAAGAGUUGAAGGUUAACAUCCACAAGGAAAAUCAUGUACACCUGGAUCAAAAAGAAGCUACUGGCAUAAGGCAUUUUGGCAUUAGACUAGAUGUACACAUGCUGACAUGUCAAAAUCCUUGAAACAGAAAUUUCAGAACCUCCUCAUGACUG
Long non-coding RNA from Marmota monax (woodchuck), 606 nucleotides. RefSeq lists it as uncharacterized. The record is from RefSeq and is a predicted model, not a curated record. The transcript is spliced from 6 exons. Lineage: Eukaryota; Metazoa; Chordata; Mammalia; Rodentia; Sciuridae.